GCCGGGCAUGGUGGCACAUGCCCGUAAUCCCAGCAACUUGGGAGGCUGAGGCAGGAGAAUCACAAGUUUGAGGGCAGCCUCAGUAACUUAGCAAGACUAUAAGCAACUUAGUCAGACCCUGUCUCAA
This 127-nucleotide small RNA is filed under the name Marmota monax (woodchuck). The record is from RNAcentral. Lineage: Eukaryota; Metazoa; Chordata; Mammalia; Rodentia; Sciuridae.